CCUACGGGGGGCUGCAGUGGGGAAUAUUGGACAAUGGGGGGAACCCUGAUCCAGCCAUGCCGCGUGUGUGAAGAAGGCCCUCGGGUUGUAAAGCACUUUCAGUGAGGAAGAACGCCUGGUGGUUAAUACCCAUCAGGAAAGACAUCACUCACAGAAGAAGCACCGGCUAACUCCGUGCCAGCAGCCGCGGUAAUACGGAGGGUGCGAGCGUUAAUCGGAAUUACUGGGCGUAAAGCGCGCGUAGGUGGCUUGAUAAGCCGGUUGUGAAAGCCCCGGGCUCAACCUGGGAACGGCAUCCGGAACUGGCAAGCUAGAGUGCAGGAGAGGAAGGUAGAAUUCCCGGUGUAGCGGUGAAAUGCGUAGAGAUCGGGAGGAAUACCAGUGGCGAAGGCGGCCUUCUGGACUGACACUGACACUGAGGUGCGAAAGCGUGGGUAGCAAACAGGAUUAGAUACCCUUGUAGUC
RNAcentral lists this ribosomal RNA (465 nucleotides) under Vreelandella stevensii. RNAcentral describes it as "partial 16S ribosomal RNA". It matches the Rfam family "Bacterial small subunit ribosomal RNA", at positions 338 to 795 of the family's 1533-position model. The record is from RNAcentral. Lineage: Bacteria; Pseudomonadati; Pseudomonadota; Gammaproteobacteria; Oceanospirillales; Halomonadaceae.